CGAAGUUCAUAAUAUCCAAACUUUUCAACAGCUGUUCGUCUUUUUCACUGUAUCCCAAGAAUAGAAAUACGCCCGGGACAAGCGUAUACGAACCUGUUUCGAAAAUCACGGGGAAGCUCUUAAAGAACAUUACUCAUUCUAAAGAAAAAUAUAUUUCUUUUGGUCUAUAAAAUGAAAUAAUAAAAAAAAAAAAACACACUGAUGUAUUGUAACAUUAGAAGAACUAGCUGUGAAUGGUUACCACACAUAAUUAUCAAAUAAUGUUAUGGCCAUCAAAUUUUAUACCACACCACCCACCACACAAAGUCAAAACGAUAAUAAUCCAAUAUUGUCACAAUAUCAUACCCAUUUUUGGUCGCAUGCAAAUAAAUCGUCCGACAUAGCACACGCAACGACCGCGAAAUGCGAUAUACGCUGGCGACU
Aphis gossypii (cotton aphid) is the source of this 423-nucleotide long non-coding RNA. RefSeq lists it as uncharacterized. The record is from RefSeq and is a predicted model, not a curated record. The transcript has 4 exons. NCBI's taxonomy places the organism in Eukaryota, Metazoa, Arthropoda, Insecta, Hemiptera, Aphididae.